Molecule: transfer-messenger RNA, 398 nt
Filed under: Prevotellaceae bacterium
Lineage: Bacteria; Pseudomonadati; Bacteroidota; Bacteroidia; Bacteroidales; Prevotellaceae
Rfam family: transfer-messenger RNA
About the family: Bacterial tmRNA, also known as 10Sa RNA or SsrA, is named for its dual tRNA and mRNA-like properties. Its role is to liberate the mRNA from a stalled ribosome.
Source: RNAcentral
GGGACUGUUCUGGUUUUGACAGCAGGCAGAAAAGGUAUGUAAGCACGCAGUGAGUUGUCGAAUAUCACUUUAAUCAUAGACGGCGAAUUAUAACUGGCGAAACAGAAUACGCUCUCGCUGCCUGAACGAAUUAAUAGUAAUUCAGGCUCAAUUACGGCACAGGUGUCGUAACGGGACAUCUCUCAAAUGCCUUGCUCUGAGGCGGUUUGGUAAAGAGGUGUAGGGAAUUUCAGGGAUAGAAAUUUUUUGCUGCAAAAAAAUUUUGAAAAUUCAGCAGAUAAGGUGUAAAUUGGUGGUUUCGGUCUUGUUUACACACGAAAAUUUAAGCGGAAAUAAGCGUGUAGAAAGCAUAUUGUUUCCCUGUUUGGACACGGGUUCGACUCCCGUCAGUUCCACAA